UAAUCAUGGCCUUUUAUGUUUUGAAGAAUAGAUUGGAAUGGUGAGUUCUUAGUGGUCGGUAUUGCAUCUGUAUUUGUUCAUAACCUUGGCCAACGCACUGUCACAGAAGCUAAAGCUGGGCAUUGUUUUGAAUUUGUUAAAUUCAGGAAAAUACCUAAAUAAUAGAAUAAAGUUGUGUUUCUCACAAACAGGCCCCGCAAUACAAUUAAUGUAUCAUUAUCUAGAUUUACAACUAGAUUUUUUUAACAGGAAGAAACCACCGCAAAACCAGACUCGGGAAGGGCCAGCCCUCUGCCGUGACUGGUUGGGUGUAAGAUCCAUUUUAGGAAUAAAGCCAUCCUUCAGCAUGGGAUACUGACAAUUUUGGGGCCACAGGCAGGAGGACAGAGGAGACAAGAAAACUCAAAUUAGAGAAAUGAGAAAAGCCUGUAGUCCUGUGUUUACCUUUGUUCUUGUCACUUUGUGGGUUUGUGCUCUGUUUAUUUCCCCUAGCAUUUGUUUUUUCAUUUUAUUUUAUUUUUCUGCCCCUUGGACUUUGGUUCGCCUGAUUUUUAUAAAAAAAAAAAUGAUGGUUUUGUUUACUGCUCCUGUGUCUGCCUCAGGGUCCACUCUCCACCAUAACUGGCAGUUCUAAUCCAACUUAAUCUGAUAAAAGUCUUUAAACAAAUUCACUCCCGCAAACAACUUCUCCUUUUCUUUUUUUAUUUAAUUGACUGCUAAUAAUAUGUAUUGAAAGCAUGUGACAGUUAUUUAUUUCAGUUACAACCUCAACGUCCACUUCACUCAAAAAGAGUAAGUUUAAAAAAUAAAUAAAUUAGUAUUUGUUAUAUUUUAGUAGAUUACACUGUAUUUUGCACUGUAUCCAUGAACUUUUUAAUUGUCCAUUGUCUGCAAGCCUGUAACUUACACAGCAACUUUCUUCAUUUUCAGCAGUGUGUUCAGGUAUCACAGGUAUCUUCAAAACACACUUUUAGAUCAGCUAUGAACUUCUUUUGUGCCCUUAGGGAAUUUCGUGAAUUACUGCACAAAUGUUUAUGAGGACUAAAGGGAGAACUGAUUGAAUUUUGGUGAUUAAAGGUCACUUCGACCUCACCAAAUCACUUUUGGUCUUAAUUCAGUUAUGACUAAAGUUCACCAAAAUAUCCAAUCCACAAAUUACUGAAAUUUUAUACUAAAAGGUCAACUUUAUAGUAAUAUCAUAAUACUUUAUCCAUUAUUUAAAUUCUAUAAUCCAGGAAAUGGAGGGCUGUAGAUGUUUCACAUUUGGAAAAGAUUCAGUAUUUAGUUGGAUACUGAAUCUUUGUGGUCAACUAUGAAAAUCUUUGCAUGUCAUGUGUAU
Long non-coding RNA from Oreochromis aureus, 1339 nucleotides. NCBI's taxonomy places the organism in Eukaryota, Metazoa, Chordata, Actinopteri, Cichliformes, Cichlidae. The record is from Ensembl.